GACAGAUUUCCUUACUUGCAGUCCAGACAUGGCAGGUUUGACUUGGCACGGAUGCUGGCCGGCGAGCUCAGAACGGAGCUGAGCCUCCCGUUCAAAUCAGAUGGACAUUUUCACAAGUCUGGUGACAACUCCGGCAGAGCCAGCUCCCACCCACACCCUUCUACGCACGUUCCUUUCUGAUCCGGCUCAGAGAGAUGGAGCCCGCCAGGCCACCAACAGGAGGCCUGCUGGAGAAGCAACCCAGAGACCUCGUGAGAAAAGCCGGAACCUCCCAAAUUUCAGAGGCUUUAGAGGUACAGGCUGCUCAGAAACCAGCCCCAGAGGUCAGACUUUGCAUCCAAGCUCCCCUCCAGACUCUGGGAUGAGUGGCCAACGUGGUUCAUUCUGACUGGGGACGGGAGCCUGGGGUCCCCUGCUGUCUUCUAGGGCAUCCCUCUCUCUGAGCCCCUCCCUGGCAUCUGGUGACAUCACAGUGACUAGGGAGGACGUUUUUCCUGCCAAAGGACACAUGCAGCCUCAGCCGCUGGGCCAAGGACCACCACCACCUGACGGGGCAGCCGUUCCUCAGGCCCCACAGGCUCCUGGCUGGGAUAGAAGAUUCCAGAAGCUGGCAGGCCUGUUCUCACCCUCGGCCUGGUCACUCAGCCCAGGCUGGCGCUCCUCACACCUGGUGGCCAUCAGGAGUUGUCAGGCCCAGCCCUUGCCCUGGCUUUUCAGGACAGGAGUUCUAGGCCCCACGGAGUGACCCGGCUUCCCAGACGGAGCUCGAUGGAUUCAGGGCUGCAUGUGUCAGAACGCUUUCCUGCCCGAAGCUCACCAGGCAUUUCAGGCCCCUCGGCUGUGUGUCGUUCCAGAGAAACCUCGUGUCAACACCUCAGUCUACUGUCCAGGUCCCCCAGCAGGACUGACGCGGGUGGAGGACAGGAGACUGUCCUGCUUUAUUUUCACGUUCCUGGAGCCUGAAGAAAAGAGUGCCUGAUGUGCAGCGAGCAUUCAGUGAACACAGGCAGCCCAGCCAUCGCACUCCUGGGUGUUUACCCAGAGGAACUGAAAAUUGACGUCCUCACCAAACCUGCACGUGGCUGUUUACGGAAGCUUCAUUCACAACUGCCAAAUCUCGGAAGCAACCAAGAGGCCCUUCAGUAGGUGGACGGGUUAGCUGUGGUCCACCCGGACAGUGACAUAUCAUUCAGUGCUGAAAAGAAAUGAGCUGUCCAGUCAUGAAACGACAUGGAGGGACCUUAAAUACAUGUGACUAAGUGAAAGAAGCCAGUCUGAAAAGGCCACAGACUACGUGAUUCCACCUCUACGACAUUCUGGAAAAGGCAAAACUACGGAGACAGUGACAAGACAGACUCUCCGCUCCGCUUCUGUGUUCAGGCCGCUGUGAGGUACUGUGCUGGUUGAAAUAUAGAAAGAAGUCUGGCCCCACGCAGAUUUAUUAGCCUCUUCAGACAAUUGUGCAUAUUCUUCUCUGACAUCACACAAACCUGGUGAAUGUGGUUUUUAAAGGUCAGCUGCUCUGCAGAAUCUGAAGCCGCGUUGGCAAACUUCUUGGGCUGCGGCAUCGAAGGCUGUGCUCUCCUUGCUCAUUGGACGACCUGCCGCCCGUGCAGGUUUUGGGACGUCGUGCUCUGGUCACUUGGAGAAAGUCAGUUCAUGGGGUCACGAGGAUCUUCCAGACGCUGGCACAUCUCUUUAUGCAACACCAAAAAGUCAUGUUUGUCAGUAACACCCCAACCUCUAAACUCUAGUUUUUGCUUGAAAGCUCAAACCUUGUCCUCAGCAACAAACACCGUCAGCUGUUUACCUUAAAGCAGCAGGUUCGCCUGUUCAUUUUCAGGACGGUGUCUGCCUGACACCCACUCCCCAAUAACGAGUCUGUUGGUUGUUCUUUCAGGUGGAAAUAGUGUUCUCCGACAAAAGGGCUGGUCCAGCCAUGGCUCAGCUGCGCUGUCUUCGGCACGGCCACCAUCUGGCCCGAGCACUCUGUGUGUCCCCCUCGCUCACACAGAAUACUAGAAAGGUCUGCAUUCGAGGGUCGAAGUGUAAUAAAAUUAGUCCUUUUUUGCUUUAUUAAGGACGUAUUAAAGUGCAGCUGCAGCUUUUGUUUAUCCGCAAGUGCGUGAGGAUGGACUCGCGCAACUUGACGCCACCACCUUGGCGCUGCUCAGGCGUGCGCUCAGUCCCACCCCCGCGGCUCUGCACCGUCCUCGCAAACGUCAGUGUGCGAGGAAGCCAGCGGCAUUUUAUCACCAUGGGAACCAGUUCUGAUCUACGGGCCACUGAGCAUCUCCGGCCCCCAUGUCAUGGGCCACAUCCUGAGAAUCACUGCUGGGGUCCAAGAUCCCGACAGGCAGUGAACUGCUGAUGUUUGCUGGUGGCGGUUGGAUGCGCUAGUAGAGUGAGGUGGAAGGAAGGUCAGUGGGCUGGGGUCAGGGGUCAUAGGUCCUGGUCUUGGUUCUGACAGCUGUCGCUGGUGGCAAUUGGGGUGAGCUGCUUUGCAUUGCUGGACCUCCUCUCCUUGUUUAUGGAUGUGAGGAGUUACACUGGACCUCUCACAUCUCUUCCCGUUGCAAGAGCCCCGCAUUCUGCUCACGAACCGCCUGCCACUCCCACGUGGUCUUCCAGGCACUUAGAGACGCGGCUUCUCCCGAGAGACGAACCCAAACUCUCAGUUCGAGCUGGGGGACUUUAAC
Long non-coding RNA from Equus caballus (horse), 2699 nucleotides. The record is from Ensembl. NCBI's taxonomy places the organism in Eukaryota, Metazoa, Chordata, Mammalia, Perissodactyla, Equidae.